RNAcentral lists this ribosomal RNA (501 nucleotides) under uncultured bacterium. Its description in RNAcentral is "partial 16S ribosomal RNA". It matches the Rfam family "Bacterial small subunit ribosomal RNA", at positions 30 to 523 of the family's 1533-position model. The record is from RNAcentral.
AUUGAACGCUGGCGGCAGGCUUAACACAUGCAAGUCGAGCGGGGGAAGGUAGCUUGCUACCGGACCUAGCGGCGGACGGGUGAGUGAUGCUUAGGAAUCUGCCUAUUAGUGGGGGACAACAUCUCGAAAGGGAUGCUAAUACCGCAUACGUCCUACGGGAGAAAGCAGGGGAUCUUCGGACCUUGCGCUAAUAGAUGAGCCUAAGUCGGAUUAGCUAGUUGGUGGGGUAAAGGCCUACCAAGGCGACGAUCUGUAGCGGGUCUGAGAGGAUGAUCCGCCACACUGGGACUGAGACACGGCCCAGACUCCUACGGGAGGCAGCAGUGGGGAAUAUUGGACAAUGGGGGGAACCCUGAUCCAGCCAUGCCGCGUGUGUGAAGAAGGCUUUAUGGUUGUAAAACACUUUAAGCGAGGAGGAGGCUACUCUAGUUAAUACCUAGGGAUAGUGGACGUUACUCGCAGAAUAAGCACCGGCUAACUCUGUGCCAGCCGCCGCGGUAA